UUAAAAUGUUAAUAUUUGAACUAAAGUAGUAUUAGUUAUGUUCUUUAAAUUUAAAGAUUUUGGCGGUAUUUUAGUCUAUUCAGAGGAACCUGUUCUGUAAUUGAUAGUCCACGAUUCACUUUACUUAAAUUUAAAAGUUUGUAUAUCGUUGUUUAUAGAAAAUUUUUUAAGAAAUAUAAUUUUUAAUAAAUUUAAUUAAAUUAUAAAUCAAAUCAAGGUGCAGUUUAUAUUUAAGAAGAAAUGGGUUACAAUAAAAUUAUUUAAACGGAUUUAAAUUUUAAAAAAUUUAAUGAAGGAGGAUUUGAUAGUAAUUUUAUUAAAUUAAAUAAAAUGAUUAUAGCUCUAGAAUAUGU
This 353-nucleotide ribosomal RNA is filed under the name Dineutus shorti. RNAcentral's name for it is "partial 12S ribosomal RNA". The record is from RNAcentral. Lineage: Eukaryota; Metazoa; Arthropoda; Insecta; Coleoptera; Gyrinidae.